Molecule: ribosomal RNA, 908 nt
Filed under: Tharybis groenlandica
Lineage: Eukaryota; Metazoa; Arthropoda; Copepoda; Calanoida; Tharybidae
Description: SSU rRNA
Rfam family: Eukaryotic small subunit ribosomal RNA
Source: RNAcentral
GUGAAACCGCGAAUGGCUCAUUAAAUCACACCUAAUCUACUGGAUAGUUAACAGUUACUUGGAUAACUGCGGUAAUUCUGGAGCUAAUACAUGCACAAAGCCCCGAACUUAUGUGAGGGGCGCUUUUAUUAGAUCAAAACCAAACGGCUUCGGCCGUUCUCUUGGUGACUCUGGAUAACUUUGGGCUGAUUGCAUAGCCUAGCGCUGGCAACAUAUCCUUCGAAGGUGUGCCCUAUCAACUGUCGACUGUGGCAUAGACGCCCACAGUGGUUUUGACGGGUAACGGGGAAUCAGGGUUCGAUUCCGGAGAGGGAGCCUUAAAAACGGCUACCACAUCUAAGGAAGGCAGCAGGCACGCAAAUUACCCAAUGACCGAAGGUCGAGGUAGUGACGAAAAAUAACGAUACGGGACUCAUCUGAGGCCCCGUAAUCGGAAUGAGUACACUUUAAAACCGUCCCCGAGGAUCUAUUGGAGGGCAAGUCUGGUGCCAGCAGCCGCGGUAAUUCCAGCUCCAAUAGCGUAUAUUAAAGUUGUUGUGGUUAAAAAGCUCGUAGUUGGAUCUCGGCGGUCUGAGGGCGGUUCACUUGCUAGUGCUACUGCCCUAUAGGCCGUAGUUUUGCCAGAGGUCGCAGGGUGCUCUUAAUCGGGUGUCUUGUGAUGCUGGCAGGUUUACUUUGAAAAAAUUAGAGUGCUCAAAGCAGGCUUUUAGGCCUGAAUAUUUGUGCAUGGAAUAAUAGAAUAGGAAGUCGUUUCUAUUUUGUUGGUUUCCGGAAAUCGACUUAAUGAUUAAUAGGGACAGUCGGGGGCAUUUGUAUUCAAACGACAGAGGUGAAAUUCUUGGACCGUUUGAAGACAAACUACUGCGAAAGCAUUUGCCAAGAAUGUUUUCAUUAAUCAAGAACGAAAG